This 497-nucleotide ribosomal RNA is filed under the name uncultured bacterium. Its description in RNAcentral is "partial 16S ribosomal RNA". It matches the Rfam family "Bacterial small subunit ribosomal RNA", at positions 28 to 507 of the family's 1533-position model. The record is from RNAcentral.
GAUGAACGCUGGCGGCGUGCCUAAUACAUGCAAGUCGAGCGAACAGACGAGGAGCUUGCUCCUCUGACGUUAGCGGCGGACGGGUGAGUAACACGUGGAUAACCUACCUAUAAGACUGGGAUAACUUCGGGAAACCGGAGCUAAUACCGGAUAAUAUAUUGAACCGCAUGGUUCAAUAGUGAAAGACGGUUUUGCUGUCACUUAUAGAUGGAUCCGCGCCGCAUUAGCUAGUUGGUAAGGUAACGGCUUACCAAGGCAACGAUGCGUAGCCGACCUGAGAGGGUGAUCGGCCACACCGGAACUGGGACACGGUCCAGACUCCUACGGGAGGCAGCAGUAGGGAAUCUUCCGCAAUGGGCGAAAGAUUGACGGAGCAACGCCGCGUGAGUGAUGAAGGUCUUCGGAUCGUAAAACUCUGUUAUUAGGGAAGAACAAAUGUGUAAGUAACUAUGCACGUCUUGACGGUACCUGAUCAGAAAGCCACGGCUAACUACGUG